This 497-nucleotide ribosomal RNA is filed under the name uncultured bacterium. RNAcentral describes it as "bacterial SSU rRNA". It matches the Rfam family "Bacterial small subunit ribosomal RNA", at positions 9 to 507 of the family's 1533-position model. The record is from RNAcentral.
GAGUUUGAUCAUGGCUCAGGAUGAACGCUAGCGGAGGCCUAACACAUGCAAGCCGAGCGGUAUUGUUUCUUCGGAAAUGAGAGAGCGGCGUACGGGUGCGGAACACGUGUGCAACCUGCCUUUAUCUGGGGGAUAGCCUUUCGAAAGGAAGAUUAAUACUCCAUAAUAUAUUGAACGGCAUCGUUUAAUAUUGAAAGCUCCGGCGGAUAGAGAUGGGCACGCGCAAGAUUAGCUAGUUGGUGAGGUAACGGCUCACCAAGGCGAUGAUCUUUAGGGGCCUGAGAGGGUGAUCCCCCACACUGGUACUGAGACACGGACCAGACUCCUACGGGAGGCAGCAGUGAGGAAUAUUGGUCAAUGGGUGCAAGCCUGAACCAGCCAUCCCGCGUGAAGGACGACUGCCCCUAUGGGUUGUAAACUUCUUUUGUAUAGGGAUAAACCUACCCUCGUGAGGGUAGCUGAAGGUACUAUACGAAUAAGCACCGGCUAACUCCGUG